RNAcentral lists this long non-coding RNA (475 nucleotides) under Sus scrofa (pig). RNAcentral describes it as "lncRNA (ENSSSCG00060035426.1)". Lineage: Eukaryota; Metazoa; Chordata; Mammalia; Artiodactyla; Suidae. The record is from RNAcentral.
AUGAGCUGUUUGCAUUAGUUUAUCAAGCAAGCACAGCAGUGGACAUAGAUUAAUAGAUUGUGAUGCAGAAAAAAAAAGGAAAGUAGGUUAUUCUCUGUAGGGGAGUGGGUCUCUUCCCAGUGACCCCACCACUGCCUCUGGAAACAUUCUCUGCCAGAGCUGGAAAAGAUUCUCCUGCGUCCUUGCUUCGGAUUAGCCAAGCCUGAAGUUUGGAUCCUUCCCCUGGCUACCAGGAGCUGGGAAGUGGACUAUGAAGAAUCUCUCAUCUGCUGCUCGCUCAGCCUGUUUUCAGCAAUAUUAUCAGUCCUACACACCACAUCCAUUAUUUCAUGUGGCUUCUACCCUUUUACUCUGCUGCACAAAAAUAGGGAAAUCUCCUUUUUGUCCUUCAAACCUACCACAUGGUUUGGCUGCUUUUACCUGGUAUACAUUUGAAUCAGGCCCAACUACAAUUGUGGGAGGUGAUAUCUGUUGA